UACAGAGGUGGCAAGCGUUGUUCGGAAUUACUGGGCGUAAAGGGCGCGUAGGCGGCCCUCUAAGUCAGACGUGAAAUCCCCCGGCUUAACCUGGGAACUGCGUCUGAUACUGGGGGGCUUGAGUAUGGGAGAGGGAUGCAGAAUUCCAGGUGUAGCGGUGAAAUGCGUAGAUAUCUGGAGGAAUACCGGUGGCGAAGGCGGCAUCCUGGACCGGCAUUGACGCUGAGGAGCGAAAGCCAGGGGAGCAAACGGG
RNAcentral lists this ribosomal RNA (253 nucleotides) under uncultured prokaryote. RNAcentral describes it as "partial 16S ribosomal RNA". It matches the Rfam family "Bacterial small subunit ribosomal RNA", at positions 524 to 776 of the family's 1533-position model. The record is from RNAcentral.